This 253-nucleotide ribosomal RNA is filed under the name uncultured bacterium. Its description in RNAcentral is "partial 16S ribosomal RNA". It matches the Rfam family "Bacterial small subunit ribosomal RNA", at positions 524 to 776 of the family's 1533-position model. The record is from RNAcentral.
UACAGAGGGUGCAAGCGUUACUCGGAAUUACUGGGCGUAAAGCGUGCGUAGUCGGUUUUCUAAGUCCGGUGUGAAAUCCCCGGGCUCAACCUGGGAAUUGCAUUUGAUACUGGAUAGCUAGAGUUCGGCAGAGGGAAGUGGAAUUUCUGGUGUAGCGGUGAAAUGCGUAGAUAUCAGAAGGAACAUCAGUGGCGAAAGCGACUUCCUGGACCAGAACUGACGAUCAGGCACGAAAGCGUAGGGAGCAAACAGG